This 839-nucleotide ribosomal RNA is filed under the name uncultured bacterium. RNAcentral describes it as "bacterial SSU rRNA". It matches the Rfam family "Bacterial small subunit ribosomal RNA", at positions 26 to 898 of the family's 1533-position model. The record is from RNAcentral.
AGAAUCAACGCUGGCGGCGUGCCUAACACAUGCAAGUCGAACGAGAAAGUGGAGCAAUCCAUGAGUAAAGUGGCGCACGGGUGAGUAACACGUGACUAACCUACCCUGGAGUGGGGGAUAACUGAGGGAAACCUUAGCUAAUACCGCAUAAUACCUACGGGUCAAAGGAGCAAUUCGCUUUGGGAGGGGGUCGCGGCCGAUUAGCUAGUUGGCGGGGUAAUGGCCCACCAAGGCGAUGAUCGGUAUCCGGCCUGAGAGGGCGCACGGACACACUGGAACUGAAACACGGGCCAGACUCCUACGGGAGGCAGCAGUGGGGAAUCUUGCACAAUGGGGGAAACCCUGAUGCAGCGACGCCGCGUGAGCGAUGAAGCCCUUCGGGGUGUAAAGCUCUUUCGACGGGAACGAUAAUGACGGUACCCGGAGAAGAAGCUGCGGCUAACUACGUGCCAGCAGCCGCGGUAAUACGUAGGCAGCAAGCGUUGUUCGGAGUUACUGGGCGUAAAGAGUGCGUAGGCGGUGCUCCAAGUCUGGUGUGAAAUCUCCCGGCUUAACUGGGAGGGUGCGCCGGAGACUGGAGUGCUUGAGUGUGGGAGAGGAAAGCGGAAUUCCUGGUGUAGCGGUGAAAUGCGUAGAUAUCAGGAGGAACACCGGUGGUGUAGACGGCUUUCUGGACCGUAACUGACGCUGAGACACGAAAGCGUGGGUAGCAAACAGGAUUAGAUACCCUGGUAGUCCACGCCCUAAACGAUGCAUAUUUGGUGUGGGCAGUUCAUUCUGUCCGUGCCGGAGCUAACGCGUUAAAUAUGCCGCCUGGGGAGUACAGUCGCAAGGCUGAA